UAUUUUACACAUGCAUCCAAUGAUGUGUUUCCACAUCAUUUGAUCAAUAUGACAACUCGUGUGUUUUCAUAUUUAUUAAUUGACGUGACAACACAUCAUUGGAUGCAUGUGUAAAAU
Molecule: microRNA precursor, 117 nt
Filed under: Medicago truncatula (barrel medic)
Lineage: Eukaryota; Viridiplantae; Streptophyta; Magnoliopsida; Fabales; Fabaceae
Description: miR5745a stem-loop (mtr-MIR5745a)
Source: miRBase by way of RNAcentral